GCUUCCUCUGUUCUUUAUUCUGUCUACAAAUACCCUUCCGCCCUCUUGCUUUCUAUCGGCUGUGUGGCUUCGGUUUCUCUUCCGAAGGGACAAGCAGCAACCACUCCGAUUCCCAAAUCAUACUCUGAAUCGCUUCUUGAACCUUCUCAACAUGGAACGCAUCGUUGGCCGCAAGUACAAGCUCGGCCGCAAGAUCGGAAGUGGAUCCUUCGGCGAAAUCUACCUCGCGACGCAUAUUGACACCUUCGAGAUCGUCGCCGUCAAGAUCGAGAAUAGAAAAACGAAGCAUCCGCAACUUCUUUACGAGGCAAAGCUCUACAAUAUUCUUCAAGGAGGAAGUGGAAUUCCGAACAUAAAAUGGUCUGGCAUAGACGGGGAGGAAAAUGUGCUUGUUCUUGACUUGCUUGGGCCGAGUCUUGAAGAUCUUUUUGUGUAUUGUGGAAGGAAGUUUUCAUUGAAGACAGUGUUAAUGUUGGCUGAUCAAAUGAUCACUAGGAUAGAAUAUGUGCAUUCUAAAGGAUUUCUGCAUAGGGAUAUUAAACCCGAUAACUUUCUCAUGGGACUUGGUCGGAAGGCCAACCAGGUUUACAUAAUUGAUUUUGGGCUUGCAAAACGAUACCGGGAAUCGGGUACCAAUCGCCACAUCCCUUACAGGGAGAACAAAAACUUAACCGGCACAGCCCGAUAUGCAAGUUGUAAUACUCAUCUUGGGAUUGAGCAAAGUCGACGGGAUGAUUUGGAAUCUCUAGGAUAUGUACUUUUGUAUUACCUCAGAGGAAGCCUUCCUUGGCAAGGUCUAAAGGCUGCUACGAAGAAACAAAAGUAUGAUAAAAUAUGUCAGAAGAAAGUUUCAACUCCUAUUGAGGUACUUUGCAAAACUCAUCCCGUAGAGUUUGCUUCGUACUUCCAUUACUGCCACUCUUUGACAUUUGAUCAGCGACCUGAUUAUGGAUUCUUAAAGCGCCUAUUUCGGGACCUAUUUACUCGAGAAGGCUAUGAAUUUGAUUACGUUUUUGAUUGGACCAUUUUAAAGUAUCAGCAAUCUCAAAAGAGUGCAGUGCUCCCUCCACUAUCUCCAGUUCCAGGAGCAAGUAACAGUCGAGCAAUUCCAAUGAAUAUUGACCAUCAUCAAGGGCAUGUUAUGGAGCGGAACAGAGCAGGCGAUGCUGCCGGUUCUGGUGUUAAAAUCCAGUUUAAAUCACCAGGGGGUAAAAAUGUGAGCUAUGAGAAUCCACUUGACAAAAAUAUUUAUGGAGAAGCAGAUAUACCCGCUGCUUCAUACUCUCCUGCUAGUACUUCUAUAAGGAACUCCUUGAAGCUAUCUUUUUCUGCUGAAGCUUCCAACCCUGGACACGGGCAAGGCAGUAAAAUUGGCCCUUCAAGUAGCUGGAUGUCAUCUCUGCAGCACACGUCUUCUGCUAAAUGAAUGCCAAAUAUGUAUGAAGCUUUAAAGAAGAUUCUAUACAUCUUUUCUCAAGUGUUUGGUCAACAAUAUUGAAGUGCAUUCGUGGAGACUGCAGAUGUGCUAGAAAAUCGACAGAUUGCGUAGCUCCUAUUUUGAGGCCAUUUAUUUUGCUUCUUUCCUGAGGUGACUACAAAUGAUUGUGCGGUUAUCGAAAGUGUAAGUUAUUCUGAUACUGAAGCAAACAUUAUGGCUGAAGGAUCACUGAAAUAAUGAUCUCUUUUGGGUUAGCAAAGGUCUUCUUUUUCCAAUCAAUAUUGUCUGAAGGAUGAAAUUUGGCAGACUCCAUGAUGCUGCUACUUCUGAUAAAUAAUUCAGCAUAACCACACGCAGAAACUAGGAGACAAGACUACCUAGUACUGGUGCUUCAAUUUAAGACUCUUGAAUCGUCUUGCUGGCCCAAAUGUUUGCUAACUUCAAUUCAAAGCUCCCAAGACACCAUAUUCUUGUAUAUAUGAUACAAGUUAUUAUAUGAUCCUCUUGUGUUCUGAAACUUGUGGAAAGGUUUGUUUGGUGGGCUUUGAUUGUGAUCAAGUUUAAAAGAGGGAAGAUUUGCAUUGAAUUUCCAUUGCUUUAGGACUAGGAGAGCUUGGUAACUUGCUUGAAACUAGAGUUGCUUGUAAUUUGAAUGUUAGUUGGUGAAGGUCUAUUGAGGAACAUAUAUAUCUUUUUUCUUUGAUCCUAUCCAUCAUUUCUGCAAGGUGCCAAAUUAAUUUUUUUAAUCAAUGGACAUAACCUAUUUCCAUUAUUUUUGGUACUUGUGCGUACGAGUCUCCCAACAAAAAUCUCUGCAAAGGGGCCAUGUAUCUGAAGGAACAGCUAAUUUUCAUAGCCUAAACAAGAUUUGGUUUCAAUUGAACUGAAUUCCAUUCUUAACUAGAUGACAUUUGGGGUUUCCAUUGAUAAGUAAAGACUACUUGGAACUUCUAUGACCCCUCUCCCCCUUUGUUCUAGUUCAGUCUAAAUGCUUCUUUCUGUUCCUGAAUAAUUUGUGUUCCUUGAUUUAGCCAUAGACCAACUGUGUCAGAUAAAGUGCAUUCAUGUGGUGAAUGGAAACUAUGAACUUGCAGAUUUCAUAUGCAAGCUUAUUCUCUAUACUAAAUCUUCGUAAUUCAAGAUCUCCAUCUUGUGGUACAAGCAACGAACAAAAUUAUGUUGAAAUAUAAAAUAAUAUUUUGCAGGGAUUGUGAAGAUUAUUCCCAGGCACCAUCCAUUUCCGUGAGGUUGAGUAAAUGGAAAUUGUGAACACAGGGAAGCAGCACCCUGACGUGCACUCAGAAUUUGAUGAGUCGAUUGCAUUGCUGGAAUGCUAUCAAAGUACCAGUAGCAUUUACCUUGAGUAAAGUUACCUAUGUAUGCGACUGUAGGCAAAUGUAUUCAAAUGAUUAUAAUGUAGUUUAUAAUCCGAAAUGUAUGCUUAAAGAUUUGUGCUGUGUAUGAUAAAGCAUUUUUCGGCCCCUCUUAAUAUUUCA
Molecule: non-coding RNA, 2934 nt
Organism: Vigna umbellata (rice bean)
Lineage: Eukaryota; Viridiplantae; Streptophyta; Magnoliopsida; Fabales; Fabaceae
Source: RefSeq, a predicted model, not a curated record